GAUCAUGGCUCGGGAUGAACGCUAGCUACAGGCUUAACACAUGCAAGUCGAGGGGCAGCGUGAACUUAGCUUGCUAAGUUUGAUGGCGACCGGCGCACGGGUGAGUAACACGUAUCCAACCUGCCGAUGACUCGGGGAUAGCCUUUCGAAAGAAAGAUUAAUACCCGAUGGCAUAGUUCUUCCGCAUGGUAGAACUAUUAAAGAAUUUCGGUCAUCGAUGGGGAUGCGUUCCAUUAGGUUG
Molecule: ribosomal RNA, 241 nt
Filed under: uncultured bacterium
Lineage: Bacteria
Description: partial 16S ribosomal RNA
Rfam family: Bacterial small subunit ribosomal RNA
Source: RNAcentral